RNAcentral lists this small RNA (324 nucleotides) under uncultured bacterium. RNAcentral's name for it is "bacterial SSU rRNA". It matches the Rfam family "Bacterial small subunit ribosomal RNA", at positions 33 to 358 of the family's 1533-position model. The record is from RNAcentral.
ACGCUGGCUCCGUGCCUAAUACAUGCAAGUCGAGCGGAGAUAUUAGCAAUAGUAUCUUAGCGGCGGACGGGUGAGUAACGCGUGGGCAACCUGCCUUUAACUGGGGGAUAACACUGGGAAACUAGUGCUAAUACCGCAUAAAAUCAUGAGAGGACAUCCUUUUAUGAUCAAAGGAGCAAUCCGGUGAAAGAUGGGCCCGCGUCCGAUUAGCUAGUUGGUGGUGUAACGGACCACCAAGGCGACGAUCGGUAGCCGAACUGAAAGGUUGAUCGGCCACAUUGGGACUGAGACACGGCCCAGACUCCUACGGGAGGCAGCAGUGGG